RNAcentral lists this ribosomal RNA (1165 nucleotides) under oral metagenome. RNAcentral describes it as "bacterial LSU rRNA". It matches the Rfam family "Bacterial large subunit ribosomal RNA", at positions 1780 to 2925 of the family's 2925-position model. The record is from RNAcentral.
CAGUGAAGAGGCCCAAGCAACUGUUUAACUAAAACACAGCUCUCUGCUAAAUCGUAAGAUGAUGUAUAGGGGGUGACGCCUGCCCGGUGCUGGAAGGUUAAGAGGAUGAGUUAGUCGCAAGGCGAAGCUUUGAAUUUAAGCCCCAGUGAACGGCGGCCGUAACUAUAACGGUCCUAAGGUAGCGAAAUUCCUUGUCAGGUAAGUUCUGACCCGCACGAAAGGCGUAAUGAUUUGGGCGCUGUCUCGGCAGCAGACUCGGUGAAAUCUUAAUACCUGUGAAGAUGCAGGUUACCCGCAACUAGACGGAAAGACCCCAUGGAGCUUUACUAUAGCUUGAUAUUGAGUUUCGGUUUGGUAUGUACAGGAUAGGUAGGAGACUUUGAAGUGUGGACGCUAGUUUACAUGGAGUCAUUGUUGGGAUACUACUCUUAUCAAAUUGAAAUUCUAACCUGAAACCGUAAUCCGGUUUAGGGACAGUGUCAGGUGGGUAGUUUGACUGGGGCGGUCGCCUCCUAAAAGGUAACGGAGGCGCGCAAAGGUACCCUCAGAUUGGUUGGAAAUCAAUCGACGAGCGCAAUUGCAGAAGGGUGCUUGACUGCAAGACUUACAAGUCGAGCAGGGACGAAAGUCGGUAAUAGUGAUCCUGCGGUUCAGUAUGGAAUGGCCGUGGCUUAACGGAUAAAAGCUACCCUGGGGAUAACAGGCUGAUCUCGCCCAAGAGUUCACAUCGACGGCGAGGUUUGGCACCUCGAUGUCGGCUCAUCGCAUCCUGGAGCUGAAUUCGGUUCCAAGGGUUGGGCGUUCCAAGGGUUGGGCUGUCCGCCCAUUAAAGCGGUACGCGAGCUGGGUUCAGAACGUCGUGAGACAGUUCGGUCCCUAUCUGUUGUGGGCGUUGGAAACUUGAGGAGCGCUGCCCUUAGUACGAGAGGACCGGGGUGGACGUACCUAUGGUGCACCAGUUGUCACGCCAGUGGCAUAGCUGGAUAGCUAAGUACGGAUUGGAUAAACGCUGAAGGCAUCUAAGCGUGAAACCAACUCCAAGAUGAGGUUUCCCAUUCACUUGAUGAAGUAAGACCCCUUAUAGACUAUGAGGUUGAUAGGUCAGAGAUGUAAGCAUAGUGAUAUGUUAAGUUGACUGAUACUAAUAGGUCGAGGUAUUUAUCAU